RNAcentral lists this long non-coding RNA (652 nucleotides) under Ananas comosus (pineapple). RNAcentral describes it as "long non-coding RNA (ACOM_LNC011657)". Lineage: Eukaryota; Viridiplantae; Streptophyta; Magnoliopsida; Poales; Bromeliaceae. The record is from RNAcentral.
UACUUUAGUCGGAAAGAACUAUAAAUUUUUAUUAGAAAAAAUUUUAAAUAUCAUUUAUGUGGUUUCACAUUUUUUUAUUUUAAUAUUCUGUGGUUUAAAAUUAAUGUAUUACUUUCGUACUCUGUGAUUUUAUUUUUCUCUUUUUGUUAUUUCCUUCACUAAUUUUUUUUUAAAUCAAUGACAAAGUUAAAACUAAAGAGUACUAAAGUGAAUAUUUGAUAAAUUAUAGAUGGGGUAUCUAAAUUUUUUGUAUAUGUUUUAAUAAAAAGUUAACGAAGGAGCAGGCAAAAAAAGAAAAAUGCAACCGUAGGGUAGUAAAUUAUACACUUUAAACUAGAGUAGGGUUAUAAUACUUUUACAAGUAUCACCCAAGUGAUACUUGUGUGUUUUUAGCCAUUGGAUCUACUUUUUGAUUACUAAUAGUCCUUGGAUCAAACACUAUUCCACCUACCACCACCUACCACCACCUAUCACCAUCAUCUUAACCUCACAUCUCUCCAUCCAAGGGCUAAAAACACACAAGUAUCACUUGGGUGAUACUUUUACAAGUAUUCUAGCUCUACUCCUUUAAACUAUAGGGUAUAAAAAUGAGAAAGUGCAAAAUUAUAUGGGUGGUAUUUGAAAUUUACCUGUUUAUUAAUAAUCAACAACC